Molecule: long non-coding RNA, 1013 nt
Organism: Capsicum annuum
Lineage: Eukaryota; Viridiplantae; Streptophyta; Magnoliopsida; Solanales; Solanaceae
Exons: 2
Source: RefSeq, a predicted model, not a curated record
AUAAGGGAUAUACAAAUCAUCAAAACAAAUUAACAUCCCUAAAGUCCAAAGAUGAAGACCAUAUUACUCUUAAUAUUCCUUCCCUUGGCAACUUGCGCCACCACCACUGACACUCCCAACAACCAACGAUUGAUAGAUGUACUCGAUACUAAGGGCAAACCCGUCAAGUCAGGCAAUAGGUACCGGAUACUUCCGACUCACUAUACUAUGGAUGGCGGAGGCAUACGUCUUGCCAAUAUUGGUGAUCAACAAAACACUACUUGUCCUACAUCAAUAGUACAAGCUCACCCUGUUACAGACCUUGGUAUCCUGGUUUAUUUUAUACCUGACCCUCUUAGUACACAUCAAAAUAUUUCGGUGGCCUCUCGGCUAAACAUCCAUUUCUAUUUUGAUUCUCCUUUGUGUUUGAACCUGUGUGGAAGGUUGACAACAUUGGAUCACAUUUGCCACCACUUCCACAGACCAUAAGCACAGGUGCAAAGUUGGGAGAUCGACUUGAUCUGAGCAGCUGGUUCCAAAUUUGGCUUUUAGGUGGUAACUAUCAGCUAGUGUUCUGUCUCGAACGCGUUGUUGAUUGCAAAUACAUUGGCAUCGUCCUGCAAAAUGGAUAUCGUCGUUUGAUUGUUCUCUCAGAGGACCCAAUAAUGCCCGUUCUGUUCAAACUGGAUGAUAAAUUUGGACUGGCAGCCGAUGCAUGAUCUCGUCAUGUUAUGUCUAGAUCUACUCUAUGUAAGUUUGGCGGAUGAUGAUGGUGAUGUUGGAAGGUGGAGCUGAUGGAUGGAGAACAAGAAGGUUUAAAAAAAUUACAAAAGAAAAAAAACUUACCAAUGGUUCUUAUGAGGUGGAAUUUAAGGAGUAACAAGGCGGACACAUGACAUAACCUGGCGUCAGAAGUCAAUUUUGAUCUUCCGAUCAUUUGCAGAUUAGAGAAAUUCAUACAUGGUUCAAUUCUUUAAUUCGAUAAAAGCAAAACGUUCUUACUUCAUUAUUAUUUUAAUAAAGUUUAGUGACCA